AAAGUUCUGCUACUAUGCGGACCUUUUUAUAUCUAUAUAUAUAUAUAUAUCUAUAUAUAUAUAUAUAUAUCUAUAUAUAUAUAAUAUAUAGAUAUAAAAAGGUCCGGAUAGUAGCAGAACUUU
This is a non-coding RNA of Pelobates cultripes (western spadefoot toad), 123 nucleotides long. The record is from the annotation of a GenBank genome assembly. Lineage: Eukaryota; Metazoa; Chordata; Amphibia; Anura; Pelobatidae.